RNAcentral lists this ribosomal RNA (723 nucleotides) under Enterobacter cloacae subsp. dissolvens. RNAcentral describes it as "bacterial SSU rRNA". It matches the Rfam family "Bacterial small subunit ribosomal RNA", at positions 60 to 773 of the family's 1533-position model. Lineage: Bacteria; Pseudomonadati; Pseudomonadota; Gammaproteobacteria; Enterobacterales; Enterobacteriaceae. The record is from RNAcentral.
AGUCGAGCGGCAGCGGAAAGUAGCUUGCUACUUUGCCGGCGAGCGGCGGAGGGUGAGUAAUGUCUGGGAAACUGCCUGAUGGAGGGGGAUAACUACUGGAAACGGUAGCUAAUACCGCAUAACGUCGCAAGACCAAAGAGGGGGACCUUCGGGCCUCUUGCCAUCAGAUGUGCCCAGAUGGGAUUAGCUAGUAGGUGGGGUAACGGCUCACCUAGGCGACGAUCCCUAGCUGGUCUGAGAGGAUGACCAGCCACACUGGAACUGAGACACGGUCCAGACUCCUACGGGAGGCAGCAGUGGGGAAUAUUGCACAAUGGGCGCAAGCCUGAUGCAGCCAUGCCGCGUGUAUGAAGAAGGCCUUCGGGUUGUAAAGUACUUUCAGCGGGGAGGAAGGCGGUGAGGUUAAUAACCUCAUCGAUUGACGUUACCCGCAGAAGAAGCACCGGCUAACUCCGUGCCAGCAGCCGCGGUAAUACGGAGGGUGCAAGCGUUAAUCGGAAUUACUGGGCGUAAAGCGCACGCAGGCGGUCUGUCAAGUCGGAUGUGAAAUCCCCGGGCUCAACCUGGGAACUGCAUUCGAAACUGGCAGGCUAGAGUCUUGUAGAGGGGGGUAGAAUUCCAGGUGUAGCGGUGAAAUGCGUAGAGAUCUGGAGGAAUACCGGUGGCGAAGGCGGCCCCCUGGACAAAGACUGACGCUCAUGUGCGAAAGCGUGGGGAGCAAAC